AACGAACGCUGGCGGCAGGCUUAACACAUGCAAGUCGAGCGCCCCGCCAGGGGAGCGGCAGCCGGGUGAGUAGCGCGGGGGAACGUACCUAUUGGUUCGGAACAACUCCGGGAAACUGGAGCUACUACCGGAAAAGCGCUCACGUGGAAAGAUUUAUCGCCGAAAGCUCGGACCGCGUCUGAUUAGCUAGUUGGCUAGGUAACGGCUCACCAAGGCGACGAUCAGUAGCUGGUCUGAGAGGAUGAUCAGCCACACUGGGACUGAGACACGGCACAGACUCUUACGGGAGGCAGCAGUGGGGAAUAUUGGACAAUGGGCGCAAGCCUGAUCCAGCCAUGCCGCGUGAGUGAUGAAGGCCUUAGGGUUGUAAAGCGCUUUUGUCCGGGAAGAUAAUGACGGUACCUGAAGAAUAAGCCCCGGCUAACUUCGUG
RNAcentral lists this ribosomal RNA (431 nucleotides) under uncultured bacterium. RNAcentral describes it as "partial 16S ribosomal RNA". It matches the Rfam family "Bacterial small subunit ribosomal RNA", at positions 29 to 507 of the family's 1533-position model. The record is from RNAcentral.